UGGGGAAUAUUGCACAAUGGGCGCAAGCCUGAUGCAGCCAUGCCGCGUGUGUGAAGAAGGCCUUCGGGUUGUAAAGCACUUUCAGCGAGGAGGAAGGGUUCAGUGUUAAUAGCACUGUUCAUUGACGUUACUCGCAGAAGAAGCACCGGCUAACUCCGUGCCAGCAGCCGCGGUAAUACGGAGGGUGCAAGCGUUAAUCGGAAUUACUGGGCGUAAAGCGCACGCAGGCGGUUUGUUAAGUCAGAUGUGAAAUCCCCGCGCUUAACGUGGGAACUGCAUUUGAAACUGGCAAGCUAGAGUCUUGUAGAGGGGGGUAGAAUUCCAGGUGUAGCGGUGAAAUGCGUAGAGAUCUGGAGGAAUACCGGUGGCGAAGGCGGCCCCCCUGG
Molecule: ribosomal RNA, 386 nt
Filed under: uncultured bacterium
Lineage: Bacteria
Description: partial 16S ribosomal RNA
Rfam family: Bacterial small subunit ribosomal RNA
Source: RNAcentral